UAGCGGCGGACGGGUGAGUAACACGUGGGUAACCUGCCCUGUACAGCGGGAUAGCCAUCCGAAAGGAUGAUUAAUACCGCAUAAUUCACCACCACGACAUCGUGAUGGUGGCAAAGGAGCAAUCCGGUAUGGGAUGGACCCGCGGCCCAUUAGCUAGUUGGUGAGAUAACAGCCCACCAAGGCGACGAUGGGUAGCCGAUCUGAGAGGAUGACCGGCCACAUUGGAACUGAGACGCGGUCCAGACUCCUACGGGAGGCAGCAGUGGGGAAUAUUGCGCAAUGGGGGAAACCCUGACGCAGCAACGCCGCGUGAGUGAUGAAGGCCUUCGGGUCGUAAAGCUCUGUCUUUUGGGACGAAUAAUGACGGUACCAAAGGAGGAAGCCACGGCUAACUACGUGCCAGCAGCCGCGGUAAUACGUAGGUGGCGAGCGUUGUCCGGAAUUACUGGGCGUAAAGGGUGCGUAGGCGGGAUAAUAAGUCAGAUGUGAAAUUCCGGGGCUUAACUUCGGAACUGCAUUUGAAACUGAUAUCCUAGAGUGCA
This 542-nucleotide ribosomal RNA is filed under the name uncultured bacterium. Its description in RNAcentral is "bacterial SSU rRNA". It matches the Rfam family "Bacterial small subunit ribosomal RNA", at positions 93 to 650 of the family's 1533-position model. The record is from RNAcentral.